UAACCUGCCCAAGAGAUCGGGAUAACACCUGGAAACAGAUGCUAAUACCGGAUAACAACAGAUGAUGCCUAUCAACUGUUUAAAAGAUGGUUCUGCUAUCACUCUUGGAUGGACCUGCGGUGCAUUAGCUAGUUGGUAGGGUAACGGCCUACCAAGGCGAUGAUGCAUAGCCAGUUGAGAGACUGAUCGGCCACAUUGGGACUGAGACACGGCCCAAACUCCUACGGGAGGCAGCAGUC
RNAcentral lists this ribosomal RNA (239 nucleotides) under uncultured Lactobacillus sp. RNAcentral's name for it is "partial 16S ribosomal RNA". It matches the Rfam family "Bacterial small subunit ribosomal RNA", at positions 122 to 355 of the family's 1533-position model. The record is from RNAcentral. Lineage: Bacteria; Bacillati; Bacillota; Bacilli; Lactobacillales; Lactobacillaceae.